This 253-nucleotide ribosomal RNA is filed under the name uncultured bacterium. Its description in RNAcentral is "partial 16S ribosomal RNA". It matches the Rfam family "Bacterial small subunit ribosomal RNA", at positions 524 to 776 of the family's 1533-position model. The record is from RNAcentral.
UACGAAGGGGGCUAGCGUUGUUCGGAAUCACUGGGCGUAAAGCGCACGCAGGCGGCUUGAUAAGUCAGGGGUGAAAUCCCGGAGCUCAACUUCGGAAUUGCCUUUGAUACUGUCUAUCUUGAGUCCGGGAGAGGUGAGUGGAACUGCGAGUGUAGAGGUGAAAUUCGUAGAUAUUCGCAAGAACACCAGUGGCGAAGGCGGCUCACUGGUCCGGUACUGACGCUGAGGUGCGAAAGCGUGGGGAGCAAACAGG